CAGGGAGACAACAAAAUGUUAAAUAUUAAUUUUGUCACCUUAGGUCGAUCGGUACCUCAGAUUCUUAAAUAUCAAGAAUUUCAAUUCCUAAGUUUUUUCUAGGUCACACCCAUUACUUUUCCUGGGCCAUUAGCUCAGGUGGUUAGAGCGCACCCCUGAUAAGGGUGAGGUCCCUGGUUCAAGUCCAGGAUGGCCCAUAUCUCUAUGUUGGGGGUAUAGCUCAGUUGGUAGAGCGCCUGCUUUGCAAGCAGGAUGUCAGCGGUUCGAGUCCGCUUACCUCCACUGAUUACCACCUCUUCCAUGAUUUAAAGAAGGGAAUUGUAUUGAGUUGUGUUUUGUUCUGAACGAAUCUAGCUUCCUAAUAAACUUAUUAAGAUGCUGGACUCAUUGAAUUUAUUCAUUGUUUUCAGAGAACCUUGACAACUGCAUAGAUUUUUUUAAAGACAAUAAGCAUCGUAAUUGAUGCAGAUUUUUUAUUUGUGCUAAUGCACUUAUAAUCAAUUCUAUUGAGCUGAUGCUUCAAUUUUUGAAGUUAUU
RNAcentral lists this transfer RNA (537 nucleotides) under uncultured cyanobacterium. RNAcentral describes it as "partial contains 16S ribosomal RNA, 16S-23S ribosomal RNA intergenic spacer, and 23S ribosomal RNA". The stretch from base 210 to 282 matches the Rfam family "tRNA". Lineage: Bacteria; Bacillati; Cyanobacteriota. The record is from RNAcentral.